AAGGGAAUUGACGGGGGCCCGCACAAGCGGUGGAGCAUGUGGGUUUAAUUGGAAGCAACGCGCAGAACCUUACCAACCCUUGACAUCCCAGGACAUCCCCAGAGAUGGGGCUUCCACUUCGGGUGGCCUGGAGACAGGUGCUGCAUGGCUGUCGUCAGCUCGUGUCGUGAGAUGUUCGGUUAAGUCCGGCAACGAGCGCAACCCACGUCCCCAGUUGCCAGCAUUCAGUUGGGCACUCUGUGGAAACUGCCGAUGAUAAGUCGGAGGAAGGUGUGGAUGACGUCAAGUCCUCAUGGCCCUUACGGGUUGGGCUACACACGUGCUACAAUGGUGGUGACAGUGGGUUAAUCCCCAAAAGCCAUCUCAGUUCGGAUUGGGGUCUGCAACUCGACCCCAUGAAGUUGGAAUCGCUAGUAAUCGCGGAACAGCACGCCGCGGUGAAUACGUUCCC
RNAcentral lists this ribosomal RNA (451 nucleotides) under uncultured Gram-negative bacterium. Its description in RNAcentral is "bacterial SSU rRNA". It matches the Rfam family "Bacterial small subunit ribosomal RNA", at positions 903 to 1375 of the family's 1533-position model. The record is from RNAcentral.